Eptesicus fuscus (big brown bat) is the source of this 131-nucleotide small nucleolar RNA. RefSeq annotates it as small nucleolar RNA SNORA72. Lineage: Eukaryota; Metazoa; Chordata; Mammalia; Chiroptera; Vespertilionidae. The record is from RefSeq and is a predicted model, not a curated record. The transcript has a single exon.
CUGCGAAUAUUCUCGCUGUUCUGAUUUUGUAAUAAUCAGGGCAGGCUAAACAUUCGCUAUAUUAAGACUAUGCUUGUGUCCCCAGACCUAGUCUUGCCCUAGGUCUGGUUUUCUAAAUGCUGGUGAUAAGC